This 254-nucleotide ribosomal RNA is filed under the name uncultured bacterium. RNAcentral describes it as "partial 16S ribosomal RNA". It matches the Rfam family "Bacterial small subunit ribosomal RNA", at positions 524 to 776 of the family's 1533-position model. The record is from RNAcentral.
UACGGGGGGGGGCAAGCGUUGUUCGGAAUUACUGGGCGUAAAGGGCUCGUAGGCGGCCAACUAAGUCCGACGUGAAAUCCCCAGGCUUAACCUGGGAACUGCGUCGGAUACUGGAUGGCUUGAAUCCGGGAGAGGGAUGCGGAAUUCCAGGUGUAGCGGUGAAAUGCGUAGAUAUCUGGAGGAACACCGGUGGCGAAGGCGGCGAUCUGGCCCAACAUUGACACUGAGACCCGAAAGCGUGGGGAUCAAACAGG